This is a long non-coding RNA of Protopterus annectens (West African lungfish), 99 nucleotides long. RefSeq lists it as uncharacterized. NCBI's taxonomy places the organism in Eukaryota, Metazoa, Chordata, Ceratodontiformes, Protopteridae. The transcript is spliced from 2 exons. The record is from RefSeq and is a predicted model, not a curated record.
AAUCACAAGGGUUGGGAGGGUGGCCUAAUGGUUAAGGUGUUUGCCUUACAAACACAAGGUGCAGGGUUUGAGUCUCACGAGGGAUAAUUGGCUAGGCUU